This 2820-nucleotide long non-coding RNA is filed under the name Arachis ipaensis. RNAcentral describes it as "long non-coding RNA (AIPA_LNC000297)". Lineage: Eukaryota; Viridiplantae; Streptophyta; Magnoliopsida; Fabales; Fabaceae. The record is from RNAcentral.
CAGAAAUAGCCAAGAAGUGUCAAGGUUUGCCGAUGUCAAUAAUUACAACUGCAAGGGCAUUGAAAAAUCAGAGCCACUUAGUUUGGAAGGAUACUCAUCGAGCUCUUGAAAAGCUUGAAGAGGAAAACCAAUUAGCAGCACCUGAGUAUUCUACAAAGUUGAGUUAUAGGCUUCUAGAAAAUGAGGAGCUCAAGCUUACCUUCUUGCUUUGUGCCCGUAUGGAUCAUGAUGCAUUGGUUGCGGAUUUGGUGAGAUAUUGCAUUGGUUUGGGUUUUCUUCAACGCGUCUGCUCAGUUUGGGAAGCCAGAGACAGAGUACAAAUGCUACUCGUCAAGUUAAAACAGUCAGGUUUGUUGUCUAACAGUUAUUAUUCAAGUGAUCGUUUCACCAUGCAAAAUCUUGUUCGUAAUGCAGCUUUGUCAAUAUCAUCUGAGGAGAGGCAUGUGUUCAUGAUGAUCGAAGAAAAACUAGAUGAAUGGCCUGAUGAGGAUCUACUUAAAGAGUACACUGUUAUUUCCUUACAACGUUGUAAUUUCAUUGAGAGAUUUCCUGUGAACAUGUGUUGUCCUAGGCUUAGAGUCUUUCAUAUUGAAAAUAAUGAUCCAUCUUUACAAAUACCAGAUAAUCUUUUUCGAAAAAUGAGAGAGCUUAGGGUGCUGAUUUUGGUGGGGUUCAACCUUUUAUCAUUGCCUUCCUCAAUUAGAUACCUAAAAAAACUAAGAAUGCUUUGUUUCGAGAAAUGCAUUUUAGGUGAAGGUGAGAAAUUAGGUGUCUUGGGAGAAUUAAAGAAUUUAAGAAUACUAAGCUUUUCAAGAUCUGAUGUCAAAGUUUUGCCUGAUGAGCUAAAGCAUUUAUCUAAGCUUCAAAUCUUUGACAUCAGUAACUGUUACAAGCUUAGAGAGUUUCCACAUGAUGUAAUGAAAAGUUUGGCUAGGCUUGAGGAGUUGUAUGUGAGAAACACUCGCAUUCAAUGGAAGGCAAAUGACAGUGUUCUAUCUGUGUUGGGUGAUCUGAAUCAAUUAAAAAAUCUAGACCUGCAAAUCCCAAGUGUUGAGCAUCUACCCAAGAAUUUGUUCUUUGACAAGUUGUACAGUUACAAGAUUAUCAUUGGCUCUUUAAAUAGAUAUUUAGAGGCUGAUUUCAAGAUUCCAGAUAAGUAUGACCUGUCAAGAUGUUUGGCAUUAUGCCAAAAGGAUGGCGGCUUUGACAUUCAUUCCGAGGAGGCAAUCAAAAUGUUGUUUGAAAGGGUUGAAAUCUUGUUGCUGCAAAACUUGAACGGUGUCCAAGAUGUUUUUUAUGAGUUGAAUCUAAAUGGAUUUCCUUAUCUUAAACGUUUAUCCAUUGCAAGCAACAAGAGUGUUCGCUCUCUCAUUAGUCAGCAGAGGCAGCGUUCUGAUCAGGUGGUUUUUCCCAAAUUGGAGUCAUUGUAUCUCUAUAAGCUUAGGAAAAUGGAGCAAAUUUUCUCUUGUAAGUCACUCUCAAAAGGUUCCUUUGGUAAGUUGGAAAAGAUCAAGAUCAAACUGUGUGGUUGCUUGAAGAAUGUUUUCUUAAUGUCUAUGGUUGGACUUCUAAAUAAGCUUGAGACAAUUGAAGUUUCAGAAUGUCACUCUUUGGAGACUAUUGUUGGAGAAACAAUUAAUCAUAAUGAAACAGAGCCUACUCUUAAGUUUCUCAAACUUCGUUCUUUAUCGCUGCAAUCUUUAUCCAAGUUUACUGGGCUCUAUCCAAUUUCAUCUGAAGAAGAUAGCAGAUCACUGUUUGAUGGCAAGGUAUGCUCAUAACUACUUUUCAGAUUUGAUUCUCUUGUACAUUUUGAACUUUGUUUCAUAAUAGGAAGAAAGCUUGUAUAUGUACUAAAAAAAGUGACAAAAGAAAAUAAUUUGAGAAAAUUAUAUUCAACUACUUUUGGAAUCAGCAUUAGUUGUUUAUAUUGCUUGGCAGAUUGAAGUUCGGAAGCUAGAGAGAAUUGAGUUGUCUAUGCUCCAAAUCAACCACAUAUGGAGUGACCAAAUAUGGACUACUGUGGAUCAAAGCAAAUCUCCUUUACAAAAGUUGAAAGAGUUGGGCAAGAAGUACCACACUAUCAAACAAACUUAUUCUCCCUUUCAAAACUUGAUACACCUGGAUGUCAAUGGGUGUUGGAAUUUAAAAUGCCUGUGGUCUUUCUCUAUUGCUAGACAUUUGGUGAAUCUUCAAAGCCUUUUUGUUACUGAUUGUAAGAUGACCCACAUCUUCCCCCAUGAUCAAGGUGAUAGUGAGGCUAAAACGAAAAAGGUAUGUAACUAAUUCAUUAACAUUACAUUAGAUUUGUUUAAUUAAUUAGUUUGAUUUCUGAUCUGAGACAAGUAUUGACUGAAAUGGAUGUGAAGCUAGAGCUUAUUAUCCAUGUGAAACUCUUAAAUCCUAAGGAUGGAGAGACACUGUUCAAGGAGAUGGCUGGAAUAGGAGCCAACAAUUCUGAAAUUGAAACAUUAGCAGCAGAAAUAGCCAAGAAGUGUCAAGGUUUGCCGAUGUCAAUAAUUACAACUGCAAGGGCAUUGAAAAAUCAGAGCCACUUAGUUUGGAAGGAUACUCAUCGAGCUCUUGAAAAGCUUGAAGAGGAAAACCAAUUAGCAGCACCUGAGUAUUCUACAAAGUUGAGUUAUAGGCUUCUAGAAAAUGAGGAGCUCAAGCUUACCUUCUUGCUUUGUGCCCGUAUGGAUCAUGACGCAUUGGUUGCAGAUUUGGUGAGAUAUUGCAUUGGUUUGGGUUUUCUUCACGGUGUCUACUCAGUUUGGGAAGCCAGAGACAGAGUACAAAUGCUACUCGUCAAGUUAAAAC